CAUGCAAGUCGAACGGCAGCACGAAAGAGCUUGCUCUUUUGGUGGCGUGUGGCGAACGGGUGAGUAAUGCAUCGGAACGUACCGAGUAAUGGGGGAUAACUAUCCGAAAGGAUAGCUAAUACCGCAUACGCAUUGAGAAGGAAAGUGGGGGCUCUUCGGACCUCACGUUAUUCGAGCGGCCGAUGUCUGAUUAGCUAGUUGGUGGGGUAAAGGCCUACCAAGGCGACGAUCAGUAGCGGGUCUGAGAGGAUGAUCCGCCACACUGGGACUGAGACACGGCCCAGACUCCUACGGGAGGCAGCAGUGGGGAAUUUUGGACAAUGGGCGCAAGCCUGAUCCAGCCAUGCCGCGUGUCUGAAGAAGGCCUUCGGGUUGUAAAGGACUUUUGUUAGGGAAGAAAAGGAUAGUGUUAAUACCAUUAUCUGCUGACGGUACCUAAGGAAUAAGCACCGGCUAACUACGUGCCAGCAGCCGCGGUAAUACGUAGGGUGCGAGCGUUAAUCGGAAUUACUGGGCGUAAAGCGGGCGCAGACGGUUUAUUAAGCAAGAUGUGAAAUCCCCGAGCUUAACUUGGGAACUGCGUUUUGAACUGGUAAGCUAGAGUAUGUCAGAGGGGGGUAGAAUUCCACGUGUAGCAGUGAAAUGCGUAGAGAUGUGGAGGAAUACCGAUGGCGAAGGCAGCCCCCUGGGAUAAUACUGACGUUCAUGCUCGAAAGCGUGGGUAGCAAACAGGAUUAGAUAUCCUGGUAGUCCACGCCCUAAACGAUGUCAAUUAGCUGUUGGGGCACUUGAUGCCUUAGUAGCGA
Molecule: ribosomal RNA, 806 nt
Filed under: uncultured Kingella sp.
Lineage: Bacteria; Pseudomonadati; Pseudomonadota; Betaproteobacteria; Neisseriales; Neisseriaceae
Description: bacterial SSU rRNA
Rfam family: Bacterial small subunit ribosomal RNA
Source: RNAcentral